AUGUCAAGGCUUUGCUUUUGCACCCACUUAAAUAGUUGUCCAGAUCUCAAAGGAACUAUCGUACUUCAUAGUUAUCUGACGCCACUGUGGAUUUUUACUAUCGUCCCCAACCGCUUCACACAGAUUACUGGACGCAGCAGGCCUAGAAGACGCUUGGUAUUUGAUCAAGAAUUUAUAAAGCUGGUGGAGACAAGCAUCACCAGCGCAAUUCAGUACCAUCAGAACAGGGGCCUCCGAAUGAUGCCUAUCGCUCUUGCUUCAGCCAUAUCCAACCAGAAAGGCACUUCUGCUGCUGCAAUCCCUCUUGAAAAGGGAAAACAAAAGGCACAUCAUGCUCCUCCCAUCAGCAUACAGAAACAGAUUGCGAAAACGUGCUAG
Molecule: ribosomal RNA, 378 nt
Filed under: Triticum aestivum (bread wheat)
Lineage: Eukaryota; Viridiplantae; Streptophyta; Magnoliopsida; Poales; Poaceae
Description: partial small subunit ribosomal RNA
Source: RNAcentral